Calliphora vicina (urban bluebottle blowfly) is the source of this 666-nucleotide long non-coding RNA. RefSeq lists it as uncharacterized. The record is from RefSeq and is a predicted model, not a curated record. The transcript has 2 exons. Lineage: Eukaryota; Metazoa; Arthropoda; Insecta; Diptera; Calliphoridae.
UGCCAGCUGUUAUUACGAUCAUUGUGAAUGUUUUGUUUUAUUAGAUUAGUCAGCUGUUUUAGAAUACAUAUUAUUAAGUUUCUCUCUGAUUGAUUUGUUGUUCUCUGAAGUUUUCUUCUGUAUCUAUUUCUUUGGCCAAUUAAAAACAAACUAUUUUGUGAUAAUUUUCUUUGCCAUUGCUGUCUGUUGGCCACUGGAAUUUUUGUGAAGGCUUCCUGAACAAUGUGAGUGGUCUUGGAGAGUGUUUGUUCGAUAUUUGUUUGGCCAUGUUAUACAAGGGGACCAGUGAUGUUUUUUUAAUUACGGAACCAAAGAUUUUGCAUGUUAUUGGGACGUGGUCUGAGUUCAACAAUUCUGGAUGUGUUACAAUUUGUGAAAUAUGUAGAUUGGAAUUACUAAGUAGAAUGUCAACCACUGAUGACUGUGUGUGAGAUGAAGUUUGACCAAAACGUGUAAAAGUGUCUGAAGAAUAUAUAUAAUAUUGAGAAUUAAGUUGGUGAUUGUAAAGGCUGUUACCGGCAGCAUUAUUUUGUUGGCAAUUCCAACUGGUAUGGUGCGCAUUAAAGUCACCAAAUAUAAAAUAGUCUGUCGUUCCUCGGGUGAUAAUAUUAAGAUCGUCAACAAAUGUAUUAGUAUAUUUUGGACAAUAAACCGAAGAAAAACGAA